UCUAUUUAAACUUCAUAGAGCUGUAACUAGAAUAUUUAGGUUGGCCUUUUGAGCUUUACGUGUCUGCUACAGUAUUUAGCUUAUGCAGAAUAGUGUGCUCUUCAAGUAGUGAGUUGACGAAUGCUUGGUAGGUUAUGUUUAUCUUGCUGUUGUGUUUGACUACUCAUCUUACUUUGUGUUAUUUUUAGUGAUCAUACAACAAAA
RNAcentral lists this long non-coding RNA (204 nucleotides) under Brassica napus (rape). Its description in RNAcentral is "long non-coding RNA (BNAP_LNC015477)". Lineage: Eukaryota; Viridiplantae; Streptophyta; Magnoliopsida; Brassicales; Brassicaceae. The record is from RNAcentral.